UUUUCUGGGUCUGGUCAUAUUCUGCCACUCGAGAUCUUGAUAAAGCAUCUGCAUUUGUCUUACUUUCCAAGUUCUGAAGGGUGCGGAAGGGUCUCAGGGAUCUUGGGUUUGAUAAAGCAUCUGCAUUUGUGUUACUUGGUAAAGCAUUUGUGCGGAAGGGACUCAGGGUCAAGUUGUGGGAUCUGCAUUUGUGUUACUUUUAUAUAAAAAUGGUGUUUCAUAUAUUCUAACAGAUCCUAUAAAUAGAUCAGAUUUUUGCUGAAGCACUACAGGUAAAAUGACCAUCAAGACUAAAACUAGCAAAUAUGGUGCAUAAAUUAGGUUUGGCGCCCAUUAUGGGUGGUGGCUGGGUACGCAAAGGAGUUCUUUCUAUACAUUGGCUGGCCAGGGAAUUUCAAGCUCAUUCUGGCUUUAACAAAAUGACCUUGUGAGACCGCCGGAUGAUAGAUGAAAGUAGUGUUCUUAUGAUCAUCACGGCUCAAGCAGCUGGCUCGAGAGUCAUCGUCUAUCAGGCUAACAUAAUCUUUAGCAUGGUGGUUCCAGUUUCUAUUUCAACUUGCAUACGAAGCAGAAUGUCGUCCAAAAAAAAUGCUGCUACUUUUUUUUAUUCUUGUUUCAAGCAUACAAUACAAUAUAAGGCUAUAAAUGGGUCAGGUUGACUCGUAAUCCAAUCUGACCCACAUACCCGAUCCGAAUUGGAGGAUUGCAGGGCUGAAUCGGUUUUAUUUUUCGAGUUGGAUCUGAGUUUACUGGAUUUCAACCUGACUUAGGAUCCAAUCUGACCUCUUUUUUGGGGUCAAGUUUGGAUCAUUUAUCCAACGGCCCGAGUCGAAUUACCCAUUUAGGCAUGUAGUAACGGGAAUACCUUUUAUGAGGGAUUAAACUAAGCUAACCUAAAGCAAAACCAGUUUAUAUCUAUGAAAAAUCCUUCGUGCCCUCAGCCACAAAAGGUACGGCAUAUAUUUGCACCGUGCCUAUUAUUUUAUGAUUAGAAGUGCCUAUUAUUUUAUGAUUAGAAGUGAUAAAAGUGACUAGUGUGAUGAGAAGAGAAGUACGGGCUGGGGUUGAGGGAGGAGAGGGCGGC
Molecule: long non-coding RNA, 1084 nt
Filed under: Phoenix dactylifera (date palm)
Lineage: Eukaryota; Viridiplantae; Streptophyta; Magnoliopsida; Arecales; Arecaceae
Description: long non-coding RNA (PDAC_LNC012873)
Source: RNAcentral